AGAGCGCGUGUGGCGGCCGAGCACAUGGGCCCGCGGGCCGGGCGGGCUCGGGGCGGCCGGGACGAGGAGGGGCGACGACGAGCUGCGAGCAAAGAUGUGCCCCGGGACCCCCGGCACCUUCCAGUGGAUUUCCUUGCGGAAAGGAUGUUGGCGGUCCCUGUGACCUGUGGAGACACGGCCAGAUCUGCCCUCCACUGACCAUACUCCCUGGAGCCUUCUCCCGAGGUGCGCGGGUGACCUUGGCACAUACAGCCAUCAUGAUGGUACUUUAAGUGGAGGCUGAAUCAUCUCCCCUUUGAGCUGCUUGGCACGUGGCUCCCUUGGUGUUCCCCUUUUACUGCCAGGACACUGAGAUUUGGAGAGAAUCCUGUUACACCUGGGAUUUAGGCACUUUCAAUCUGAAAAAAUACAUAUCCUUUCAGCACUCUGGACGGACUUGAGAACUGUCCUUACGUGACCUAAAGCUGGAGUAUUUUGAGAUUGGAGAAUUAAGAGCCAGUCUUGGUGCUCUGUGUUCACCUGGUUCAUCUGAGGAGCUGCAUCUACCCUGCCCAUGCCAUAGAUCCUGCCCUGUUUGCUUCUCCUGUUGCUGCUAGUGGACAUGAGAAGGACAGAAUAACGGGCUCCCAGAUUCACAAGCCCCACCAAGAGGAUCACCCCAGGAACGCUUGGAGGCUGAGGAGUUCACUGAGGCUACUGCAUCUUGAGACUCAGGAUGAAGACCCAGCUUGGGGCUGUCAAAGGUUUUUUGCAUGUCUGACACCCAUGACUCCACCUGGACCUUAUGGCUCCACCCAGAAGCAAUUCAGCCCAACAGGAGGACAGCUUCAACCCAUUACGAUUUCAUCUCUGCCCCAACCACUCAGCAGCAAGCACCUGUUACCUGUCCACCCCCACCCCUUCCCCCAAACUGCCUUUGAAAAAUCCCUAACCUAUGAGCUUUGAAUAAGAUGAGUACGAACUUCAUCGCCCACGUGGCGUGGCCGGCCUCGUGUCUAUUAAAUUCUUUUUCUACUAC
RNAcentral lists this long non-coding RNA (1018 nucleotides) under Homo sapiens (human). The stretch from base 17 to 194 matches the Rfam family "Pvt1 oncogene conserved region 1". Lineage: Eukaryota; Metazoa; Chordata; Mammalia; Primates; Hominidae. The record is from RNAcentral.